UUCGUAUGAUGACAAUUUUUAUUUUAAUUGAAGAAACCAUGAUUUUUUAUUUGAGCUUUUUAACACUGACGAAU
Non-coding RNA from Nasonia vitripennis (jewel wasp), 74 nucleotides. NCBI's taxonomy places the organism in Eukaryota, Metazoa, Arthropoda, Insecta, Hymenoptera, Pteromalidae. The record is from Rfam.